Molecule: ribosomal RNA, 427 nt
Filed under: uncultured bacterium
Lineage: Bacteria
Description: bacterial SSU rRNA
Rfam family: Bacterial small subunit ribosomal RNA
Source: RNAcentral
GCGAGGAAUCUUGGGCAAUGGGCGAAAGCCUGACCCAGCGACGCCGCGUGAGGGAUGAAGGCCUUCGGGUCGUAAACCUCUUUUAUGGGAGAAGAAGUUCUGACGGUAUCCCAUGAAUAAGCCACGGCUAACUACGUGCCAGCAGCCGCGGUAAUACGUAGGUGGCGAGCGUUGUCCGGAUUUACUGGGCGUAAAGGGCUUGUAGGCGGUCCGUUAAGUCCGAUGUGAAAUCUCCCGGCUCAACUGGGAGAGGUCAUUGGAUACUGGCGGACUAGAGGGGGGUAGAGGAAAGCAGAAUUCCUGGUGUAGCGGUGAAAUGCGUAGAUAUCAGGAGGAAUACCAGUGGCGAAGGCGGCUUUCUGGGCCUACCCUGACGCUGAGGAGCGAAAGCGUGGGGAGCAAACCGGAUUAGAUACCCCAGUAGUCC